GACGAACGCUGGCGGCGUGCCUAAUACAUGCAAGUCGAACGCAGUGGGGACGGGUGAGUAACACGUGGGUAACCUCCCAUCAGAGGGGAGAACACUUGGAAACAGGUGCUAAACCGAUACUGAUGGAUGGACCCGCGGUGCUUUAGCUAGUUGGUGAGGUAACGGCUCAGCAAGGCCACGAAGCAUAGCUGACUAGAGCGGGUGAGCAGCAACAUUGGAACUGAGACACGGCCCAGACUCCGACGGGAGUCAGCAGUAGGAAAUAUUGGGCUAUGGAGGAAAGUCGGACCGAGCAACGCCGCGUGAGUGAAGAGGGUUUGCGGAUCGUAAAACUCUGUUGUUAUAGAAGCGGUAUCUAACCAGAAAGACACGGCUAACUACGUGCCAGCAGCCGCGGUAAUAC
This 403-nucleotide ribosomal RNA is filed under the name uncultured bacterium. Its description in RNAcentral is "partial 16S ribosomal RNA". It matches the Rfam family "Bacterial small subunit ribosomal RNA", at positions 28 to 526 of the family's 1533-position model. The record is from RNAcentral.